CGGCUUAAUUUGACUCAACACGGGGAAACUCACCAGGUCCAGACAAAAUAAGGAUUGACAGAUUGAGAGCUCUUUCUUGAUCUUUUGGGAUGGUGGUGCAUGGCCGUUCUUAGUUGGUGGAGUGAUUUGUCUGCUUAAUUGCGAUAACGAAACGAGACCUUAAACCUGCUAAAUAGCCCCGGCCCCGCGUCUGGCGGGGCCGCUGGCUUCUUAGAGGGGACAAAUCGGCUUCAGGCCGAUUGAAAUGUGGGGGGAAUAACAGGUCUUGUUAACGCCCUUAAAAUUUUUUUGUGCCCG
The sequence is a non-coding RNA, 297 nucleotides long. It matches the Rfam family "Eukaryotic small subunit ribosomal RNA", at positions 1186 to 1493 of the family's 1831-position model.